Molecule: ribosomal RNA, 253 nt
Filed under: uncultured bacterium
Lineage: Bacteria
Description: partial 16S ribosomal RNA
Rfam family: Bacterial small subunit ribosomal RNA
Source: RNAcentral
UACAGAGGCCCCGAGCGUUAGGCGGAAUCACUGGGCUUAAAGCGUGUGUAGGCGGAGUGCUAAGUACCUUGUGAAAUCCCACGGCUCAACCGUGGAACUGCUUGGUAUACUGGUUCUCUUGAGCCACCUAGGGGCAACCGGAACAAACGGUGGAGCGGUGAAAUGCGUAGAUAUCGUUUGGAACGCCAAUGGUGAAAACAGGUUGCUGGGGGUGUGCUGACGCUGAGACACGAAAGCCAGGGGAGCAAACGGG